AAGCCCGUUCUCUUCCCACGUUCACUAUAUUUCUAGCAUGUCUCAGUGGAUUUGGACAGGUAUAUAAAUAUAUUAGCUAGAUAACUUACUGCGGACUAGUUUAAUUCUUUUUAAACUAGCAGAACGUCAUUCAUACCAUUUUCUUUCAUGCUUUUUAGUGUACAUUAUACAGAUUCAAAGCAUCAUUGAAAGACAAUCCAAAUGUUACAGUCCUUGUCAUUUUCUUUAAGUUCAUUUUCUUUUAUGUUUAAUGAAUUCUAAUGUUUAUUAAAAAUCUGUAUUAAAGGUACAAAUUAAUAUUAAUGUUUUACUUUUUUAAAUUUAAUAUCAGAUACAUUUAUUGUUGUGGUAUACACAUAUUUGGAUAUUUGUCUUCAGUUGGAAUGUUUUAUAAUGCUAACCCAAGGCUUAGAACUGUAUUGAAGGUUUCCUCACACAUAAAGCUUACAUAAUUAAAAUGAUUGCAGAAAAUAAGUGUAUAAAUUAAAGUUAGUGUGAAUUAUUCGGCCCAUUUAAGAUAAUAAAUUAUUAGUUGAAAAGAUAUACACAUCACCGUGUAUAGUGGUCUCAACUGUUUAUUCAACAACUUCGAUACAAUAUUGUCUUCCUCUUUAUUAAAAUAUUACAUUUUUUCUUGUAUUUGAAACGUACAUUUCUUAGUAACACUGUUACUACCUCUCUGUAAUAAAUAGAGAAAAUUGAACAUGACUUUCUGUAUCAAACUUACUUUAAUCCAUUACAAUUAUUGUAAUAAUUGUUUUAAUAUGUAAAACUUUAGAACAUUAAGCUUUAUGUAUGAAAUAAACCUUGGUAUUAAUUUUAGUAAAUUAAAAUAUAGGUUAUAAUAUAAUUCAUGUAAGUGAUUUAGUGUAGGGCAAGCACACAAAAAUAAACAGGAAAUUAACAUUUUAUAUCUACAUGUGAGUUUCCAUUCCAUGUAGAUAAUGACAGCAAAAUUUGUUUAUCCCCAAAGUAAAAUAAAAAUAGUAAUGAUAUAAUAUAGCCUAUAUCGGUUUUUGGUAGUGUGAGAAGGAUUAGUCAGUUUAGUCUAAGUUUUUUUGGUUCUGCACCAGUUAUAAUAAAUUAAUUUUUCUAAAAAUGUUUUUAUAAUCUAGUAACCUUUCAGUUAUUACAAUAUAAUUUACAGCACUUGACAAUGUCAUCUUAUAUAGGAGGUCUGAGAGCUCUGAACUGUAUACCUCAUGAUAGUGAGUUAACAGAGGAACACCUCUACAAUUUGUGACAGGUGAAAUCCGUUAACUAUGGGUUUUUAUUUAUCGCUAAUAGCAACUGUCGCUCUUGACAACCAAUAACUUUUCAAAACGGUAUACUAGGCUUCCUUCAAGUAGUCGUUAAGACUGCUCUAUCUUCAAGUCAGGGGUAGCGUAGCUAAAGGUAAAAUAACCGCCACUUCAAAAAAUAUCUGCCACUUGCAUAUCAUACCAAUAACUGAAGUUAGAUAGGUUUAAAUGAUUACAAAGAAGUAUUUGCAAGUAUUGGAAACAAACAUAUUUCUAUCUUAUAUUGUAUGAAAGACGUCUUAAAAUAUAAUUUCCAUGAAUAUUAGAUUCAAAUUGUGUUAUAAUAAAUUUUUAUUGUAUUAUACAAUUUUUUGAAUUAUAAAUUUGACACAUGGAAAUAGUAUAACAAGGGAAGCAAGUAACACUCAGGUCUUUCUUUUAUUCUUGCCAUGGUGUCUGAAUUUUCUGUUUAUACAUAGUUUUUGAUAAUGGCAACCAGCUGUUCAUUGUGGUAACAUUGACUCUUUUCAAUGAACUUGCUAAUUACAUAAAUUGACGAUACAGUACAAUUUACUUAUAUUUCUAUACAAUGUAUACCCAUACAUAUAAAUAUAUGCUCAUUCUAAAGAAUAGUGAAUAUUAGUGUAUUGUUCACCAUUAAUAAAAUUAGUUUUAUCAGAUUAUAACAGAAUUAAUGCAAGCAUAUGGUAAAGGAUAUAAAUUUAAAACAUACUUUUUUCUGAUAAGAAAUGAUAUAAUUUCAAUUAACCAGCUUUUUGUUACUUGUUAUCAGUCAAUAAUAAACUGGUGGAACUUAGAGGCGAUUCGACCCAAAGGUAGACCCCUUUAUUUAAAGUUUGUUAUUAACAAUGGAUGGAAAUGAAAAAAAUUAAAGAAUUUCGGACAUUGUAUGUUAUAAAUGUAUAAUACUAUGUUUUGAGAAUUUCAAUCUACCCUCUUAUUCAGGUGUAAAACACUUUAAUACAUGCACAGUGGAGUCUUGCUGCUUCGAACACGUUUAAUCCGAACAAGUCUGGGAGGGAAUUAUUAUAUUUAUUUGUGAAUGUAAUAUACAGCUGUAGCAACUAAUUGCCUGAAAAAAAUGGGUGCAUAAUUUCGUAAUAAAACUCACUUAAUACGCGUAAAGUAUUUUAUUAGAACAAAUUGUGUACACUACACUACAGUACAUAAAUAAUAAGUUUGAAUACAGUGCCAAAUUGAAAAUGAUAGUUUAAUUUUGAGUUAUAUUAAGAAAUGAAAUGAAACAAAAAACUGGAUGUACAGUACUGAUAUUACUGUUGAUUCCAAUAUUAAUUGAAACAACAUGAAUUAAGUUUUUAUCAAUUAAAUAAUAUGUAAGUAGUGCAAGGUCAAGCACUGCUGCAUCUUCUGUGUGUGGCACCAACUGCUCUAUAUCACACAGGUUCUCGAGAGUAACGGUGGUAUGCUUUCGCUUACUUGCCAUAACCAUCAGCUUGCACACUUUUAUUACGCAAAUAAUCACAACAGUGGAAUCGAUGUUUGCACUGAGAAAACAGAUGACACACUGUAGACUACAGCGCAGUGUGCUGCAGUGACGAGGGAGGGGGAGUACAGUCUGGUCUGUAGAGCGUGGACAUGUCCAUGUGUACUACAAAAGUGAACUACGGUGUACUGAAACUUAAUAACUGUAUUCGCAGUCCAACUCAUUUGUCACAUGAAGAACAGUAAAACAGACAAAAAAUGUGUUUUAAUAAACAAUGUUGAUAAUUUUAGAAAUAAAAUAGACCCAUUCUCAUGCUUAAAACCGUGUAUUUUUGUAAUUUAAACAAUUCUGUAAUCCAAACCAGGUUUGGUUCUAAUUAGUUCAUAUUAGCGGGACUCCACUGUACUUAAUACCUGCAAUGUGCUGCAACUAAAAAUUAAAAAUGGUUUCAUACUUGACAACAGCAAGGUCCACACGGGAGAAAAUUGUUGUGUAUGAUGCCAAUUUCCUUUUUUAGUGGCUGUCCAUUGCCGCAUGUUACAUAAGUGGUGUAUGUAUAUCUAUUUAGUGUUUUACACCUAAAGAAGGGAGUUGAUUUCAACCCUUAAAUAUAGUGCUAUGCAUUUUGUAACAUAUAAUGAUGGCAAAUCUCCGAAAUCCUGUUAUAAUUCUCUUUAUUUAGAUAUGCAGCGUUAUUAAUAGUCAAUGGGGAAUAUAUUUACAUUUUUCAAAAACUGUAGGGAAUGAAUUUUGUGUGUUGCCCUAUACUCUUUUAAGUUGUAUAUUAUUGUAGCGCAGAACUGAUUUUAUGUAUAACUUAUUAGCAGAAAUGAUCUCUGUUUGAUGUUUCAAUGUAGUGAAUUUAAAAUGCAAUAGUCUCAUCAAACAACCCAACCCUUGUUUGGACAAUUCUCGUGUAAAUUCCAUUGCAUUUUACAUAAAUUACAUUUACUACUUUUAAAAGUUGAAAAAUGGUUUUGAAAUUCCAAGAUUACACUUCAGAUUGAAAGAUGCCAGUAAAGUAAAUAAUUUUAUAAACAAAAGAGGGAUACGCCACACCACAUGUAAUGUAACAGGCUUUGCUGAGAUUCAGUGCAAAAUUUCAAGUCUAGCUAAUUUCAUUAUUGAAAGAUGGAACCACUGACAAUCAUAUGGAACAGAAAUUUUUACAUCCUUCGACAAACUAAAUAGAUAUUACAUCAACCUACUGUGUGACAGACAGGCUUCAAUGACACUUAGCACCAUCAUAAAAUUUCAAGUCUACAGAUAAAAUCUGUCUUCAGAUAUCUGGCAACAUGAUACAUAAAUAGUUAUGUCCAUUGAAUUAGAUUUUAUAUAAAGAUAUACACACCAAGUCACCGUAAAUGUUGUUUGAAUGUUGUAUACCAACACAUUUGGAUAGUUGAGCUACAUGUUUUAAGUGUACUGAGUUUGUUUACAAAUUUAUUCUGUUGUCUCAAUAUCAUGGUUAUCCAUACAACCAAUGGAACAAUAUCGACUAAAGCUCACCCAAUUCCCAUGGAUUGACAUGCACAAUUACAAGUCUUGGUCUCUUAGUUUUCUACGUGUAGUGCGGACAGACAGAAAUGAAAUUUUUCCAGCCUCAUGAAUGUUAGGCUUUGCUGACGCUCAGCCUGCAAGGAACCACAAAGUAACACAAUGCUGAUUUGUUAAGAUUGAUAUGCAACUGACAUAAAAUCCUUUUUCCAUUUUUUCUAUUAAACUUCUAUUUUUACAUUCUAUGAUGACCAACCAUGUACCCCUUGAGGUGCCACAGCGUUUCUAUAUGAGAUAAAUAGUAGGGCAAUUGCCCAAGUCACUGCACUAUAAAUUUUGACCACACUAUAUGGUUUUCUGCAUUACUGCUAAAAUAUGGCAUUUAUUCCAAUAUUCAUAUAUCAAAUGUUCAUAUAAAUGUUUUGCUUGUCUUGGAUUUUACUUCAAAAGCAUAACUUGUCUUAUUGAGAAAAUCGGGAAAUAACUAACAUUCAAUCAAUAAUAUUUGUAAUUUAAAAUAUAUCUUUCUUAUUGGUGUCUCUGCCAAUGUGAGUUCUUACUUACAUCUUUUGGUGUGUUCUUUUCUUGCUAAAGUUAUUAGUUAGUCGUAAAACAAUCAGAAUUCAAGUGUUCAAUAAACACAUUACGUCACACAGCUCUUACAAUACAUAAAUGUUACAUACAUACAUACAUACACAAUAAAUUAACAAAAAUGUAUGUUUCAAAUUUCAUUUACAAGCAGAUGAGUUCUUUUUUCAAGAAUCAAGAAUUUAUUAAGUCAUUUAACUUUUACAAGUAAUUGACCAAGUCAAGUUUAAAAUCUAUCCUAUCUCUACAUUAUAUUUAACAAAAUACAUUUAACAAUAACAUUUCAUCAAAAGUGCUGACAUUUACUUAAAACCUAAAACUUGAAUCACCGUCUAAAGCUUAAAAAGGCAAGGUUAAGGUCAGUCAAGGGCAACUCAAGAUAUUCUUUAAGACUAUAAAAAGGCUUAUUGACCAAAAAUCUAUACAAAACCAUUUUGAAUUUAUUUAAGUUUAACUGGUGUACCCAAUGAGGCAGCAUAUUGAACAUUUUUAUGCUGAUACAAUCAAACCAGUUUUGUGACACACUUAAUCUAGAAAAUAAUCAAGGAAUUAUAAAUGAUUAGUGACUAGAUUAAUGAGACGAUUGCAUUGUAAAUUGUGAUUGUAAGUUCUUUGUCUUUCUUGUAUUGUUAAAAAAAAUAUAUUACAAUAUGGAUAUUUUGUUACAAGAAUUUUUAGUUUAUUAUUCAUUAUUUUGUGUUUUAUGUACAGAAUUUUUACUUCUGUUUUUGUCCCUGUAUUCCUACUAGUUAAGUUAACAGACAUAGUUUUAUUGUUUCACAAUCUUAUAACUUAAGGAGAAACCCAUGUAAAGGUUGAUUGAUUGAUGGGCCGAUACUGAAAAGUUUAAUUUCUAAUACUGAUAACAUAAUUGUGGGCUAGAUUCUGAAUUCGGUACUGGUACUGUACAUAUUAUUGUGUUAUUUAUAACAAAGAAUAUAUGCAUUGAUACAGAAUGCAAUAGGUAUCAAUUCUGUUGAAUUGUUGAUACCUUGUAACAUUAAAUAUCGACCUAUUGAGUAUUGGAAUCGGCCCAUCCCUGGAUGGAUUUACCAAGGGCAGGUUCACAUUGUGUUUUAGAGAGGUUUCUGCACAAUGGGAUAUAUUUUUGUGAAAAGUCAGGUUUCAGUACACUCUGUACUGCAGACUAGUUGCUGCUGUCAGUACCAGACCAGUGUCAGGCUCACUGUACAUAACACUUCUGUGCUUUCACUUUUUCUUAAAAAUACAUUUUUUUCUCAAAAAUCAAAGAAUUUGUUCUUUGAGUUGUAAAAGUUUAUUGGGACUUUAUAAAGAAUUUUGUGUUUUAUAAACAACUUAUUUUCUACAUUGGUAUUUUUAGAAAAAUUGUGUCUACCUGUCUUUCUGUAAUAACUUCCCUAUUAUGUUAGACCCUUAAAACCCACAAUGUGAACUUCUGCCCAGAAAUUUCUAAAUCAUUCGUAAUGAUUUAUUUUGCAUUAUAUUUAUAAGAGCAGUAGGAAAUAAGAAUUGUAUGUAAUAAUUUACCGCAAAACCAAUAGCAGUAUUGUCUUUAAUUGUUAUAUCAAAGCAUAUUAGACCAAAAUUAAAUAAAAAGCUUUUAAAAACUAGUGUUUCAAAUUUUAAUUAGGUUUAUUGUAAAUUUUGUCCCAAAUUUACCAUUAUAAUUUAUUUUUUACUUCUGUAAUAUCUUUUUAUUUUAUCUGUUAAUUAUUUUAAUUGACAAUGUACAGUAUUUUUAUUUUUGCCAUAGAUUUUACCGAUUGCUAUUUUGAUAUUAUUGAUUUGUUGUAAGGUUGUUUUGUAUUAAAGCAAACAAUACAAGUUUGUGUUGAAUCAAUAGUAUACCUUUAAUUAAUAACAAUUAUUGUGCUAGCUGAUAAAUUGUAAAAUAGAUUUUCUAGAAAUGAAGAUUUUUAUUGUUUUUUACUAUAUAUUUGAAUUAUUUGAUGUAAAAACUGAUUGACAUUUUGCUCUAUUUAGGAAAUGUUAUUUUUUUAAUUAAGACAUAUUGAAUUAACUUUACCAAUGAAACUAUAAAAAUAGUAGUUUAUUAAUACAAAUAUAAUAUUUACAUUAGGGAUCUCUCACUAAUCAAGUAUUGUACUUCACAUAUUUUGUAAUACGCUUGGGAUGUGAUUAUGCUGAAAACAUUAAUUAAAAUUUUGUUUAUUCAAAAGAGGUUUUUUUCCUAAAUUACUUUACACUGGUGAUACAAAAGUAGUUUGAAACAUUCUAGCAUUGCCUCUAAUCUUGUAUUAACCCUUUUACUGCCAACGUCCGACAUAUCGGACGUCGGCAUUUUUGCCGAAAACGCCAACGUCCGAUAUGUCGGACGUCUGUUUUUUUUUUAUUGUUACUGGCUAC
RNAcentral lists this long non-coding RNA (7140 nucleotides) under Homalodisca vitripennis (glassy-winged sharpshooter). RNAcentral's name for it is "uncharacterized LOC124360090". Lineage: Eukaryota; Metazoa; Arthropoda; Insecta; Hemiptera; Cicadellidae. The record is from RNAcentral.